Molecule: ribosomal RNA, 495 nt
Filed under: uncultured bacterium
Lineage: Bacteria
Description: bacterial SSU rRNA
Rfam family: Bacterial small subunit ribosomal RNA
Source: RNAcentral
GAGUUUGAUCCUGGCUCAGGAUGAACGCUAGCGGCAGGCCUAAUACAUGCAAGUCGAACGCUCAGUAGCAAUACUGGGAGUGGCGCACGGGUGCGUAACGCGUACACAAUCUACCUCUAAGCGGGGGACACCUCCUGGAAACGGGGAUUAAUACCGCAUAAUAUGCCGAAGUCGCAUGACUUUGGUAUUAAAGCAGCAAUGCACUUAGAGAUGAGUGUGCGUCCCAUUAGGUAGUUGGUGAGGUAACGGCUCACCAAGCCUAUGAUGGGUAGCCGGUCUGAGAGGAUGGUCGGCCACACGGGCACUGAGACACGGGCCCGACUCCUACGGGAGGCAGCAGUAAGGAAUAUUGGUCAAUGGUGGAAACACUGAACCAGCCAUGCCGCGUGGAGGAAUAAGGUCCUACGGACUGUAAACUCCUUUUGACGAGGAAGAAAAUGUUAGAUUUAUCUAAUUUUGACGGUACUCGUAGAAUAAGCACCGGCUAACUCCGUG